This 289-nucleotide long non-coding RNA is filed under the name Hordeum vulgare. Its description in RNAcentral is "long non-coding RNA (HVUL_LNC006807)". Lineage: Eukaryota; Viridiplantae; Streptophyta; Magnoliopsida; Poales; Poaceae. The record is from RNAcentral.
AAUGUGGUACUAUUAAAUGUCGGCUGCUAGGAAUCACGCAGAUGAUUUCUCGGUCUAAUUAGCACAGCAACUCAUCCUUUGUUUAUUCUCCUCUAGUUUCCAUCCACACCGCGUCUUCUUUUUAGAGAAACUAAAGACGACUUCAAGAAUUGAUACACCCACCAUGGCACUUCUGUCAGCGAUCUCGCAGCACCGAUGCUGCCGGCGAGCACUACAUGAUAGCUCCAAGAGCCACCGACGACCAUCGCAUCAUAGCAUCAAGAACCACCUAGUAAUGCUCCAUGGAAAC